RNAcentral lists this long non-coding RNA (3898 nucleotides) under Mustela putorius furo (domestic ferret). Its description in RNAcentral is "lncRNA (ENSMPUG00000025095.1)". Lineage: Eukaryota; Metazoa; Chordata; Mammalia; Carnivora; Mustelidae. The record is from RNAcentral.
AACAUCAGAGCUGGAACGCACAGCGGACAUUUCCCCCUACUCCAGCCUUUCCGUUUCACAAAUGGGGACACUAAGGCUCCGAGAAGUAGGUUCAUCCUUCCAAACGUGCACAGCUGGUUGGAGACAGAUGAAGACGAGGAUUUCUGGCUUCAAACCAGAGUGCUUUCCAUCUCACCUCUAACCCCAGUGCUCUUGUGGCUUGGGGACCCUGCUGCUUGGCUCCGGUGGUGGGGUGUGCAGUAGAACCAAACACUGGCUUUGGGCCUCCUAGAGGACGCCAGUGGGACACCUGCUCCUCCGCACGGCUCACAGCCUGACCCCAGGACCUGCAGCGAUGGCCAGGAGGUGUGAACUGCCAAAGCCACAAAUAUGCCUCCUUAACAGGGGGUUGGAACGGCUUUUCUCGUCCAGAGAACCCGAGUUGGCUGUCCUGAAACCAGUCUUGGACCAGCAGCUGGUCGUUCUUCACAGUUACCCAAGCCCUGCAUGAAGCUUUUCGCAGCCAAGACAAGAGCAGAAGGCACGGAGCCCGAACCCGUGGGAACCCGUUUUUGCGCACUGGAAGACCGAGUACGAAGGCAGCUCAGACUGAGAAGACCCGGCCUCAGGGAUCCCCACCGGCUGGUUAGAGGAGUCUGGGAUCCUUCCCCUCUGAUUGUACUCAGAGCUAGAGCGGUAGAAGCAACAGCUCUGCCCCCUGGUGGACAUGGGAGGCACAGCGCCCUUCUCCAACUCAGAAGCCCCACCGUGGUGCUGCUGCAGGAGAGGAAGGAAGCCCUCUUGGUUCCCUCUGAUAGAGCAAAAUUUGGCACAGGAAAAAUAAUCCCUUUCUGGCUUAAUUCUGAUGAUCUGGUCAGUUUGGAUGCAGAAAAGAUUUGUAUUGUUUCUCUUGCCUGGACUCUGCUGUUCCUUCGUGCUAUCCAAACCCCUACCCCUUUUCUAACCCCUGUUUCAAGUUCUGCCUCCUUCAUAACAACUUUUCUGACUCUCCUCGCCUAUAUGUCUUCUAAAUACAGCGGUGCACAGACCCAGCAUGCAGAGUGCACAUUUACAUAUGUCUUCAGUGUUGUUUCCUUGAGGGUGGGAAGCAGGUUUUGUGUCUUCGUGUUCGUAGACUCCAUGUUGCACAGCACAGGGCUGGGGACAGAAACUGCUCUCAGUAAGCUCUUGCUGAUUAAUUGAUACAUUAAUUAAUUAAUCUCUGCAAACACAAACUCUAAGCCUUUGCUUCGACAGACCUUCCAGAACUGUCAGAUCUUUGGGGGACUCUAGAUAGUGGCCUAACCAAAUAUCGCCUUGCACAAUGAGUAGUUCCACAAAACCAGUUUCACAAGAGAACACCACCAAGACCCAGAGAGGGAUGAGGAAGUUCGAAGCAGACACUCAGGGAGAGACUCGGAGGGAAGCGGGUGGCCAUGUGGAAAGGCCGAAGGACAAAGAAUUUGGAGGGAGAGGCCUCUGCUCCUGGGCUCAGAGAGGCAGCCCAAGAAUUGAUCAGCCCGGGCCACCUGCUGUGUGGCUUUAGGCAAGCUUACUCCCUCUCUGGGUGUCAGUUCCUCAUCUGUAUAAAUAAGUACCCAUCUCCGAGCAAUAGGAGGAGGAUAAAUUGAGUUGCUAUUUGCCAAGUGCCGGGCACAUAAGUACUAUAUGACGGUUUGUAAAUGAAUUUUCCAGCUCAGGUGUCUUGAAAAUGGGAUAGGAUACGAUCUCUAAGUUGGUUCCCUUCGCACCAGCCUUCCAGGACAGCACAUGAACUUUGGGGUCAGGCAGGCCUGAGUUGCCUCUUGUCUCUGUGAGCAGUUGUGUGACUUUGGGAAAAUUGCUUUAUUUCUUGGAGCCUCGGUGUUCUCAUCUGUGACAUGAGGAUGAUUGUGUCCACCUCAAAAGACGGGUGUGUGCGCUGCACGCUUGGACAGUAUGUGGCAUAGAGGAGCUUUAUAAACAGAAGUGGUGGUUAUUGCAGAUCAGAGGAGCCAUACAUGGAGGAGAAGAGGGUCUCCAAAAUCUAGGACGUUUUGAGAAAGAGAACAUAUAGGCCAGCUCAGCCCCGGAGCCUGAGGUUUGCGGCAGGCGGGGGAGGCCCUGGGUCUGGGCCAUGACUGGAUAUCACAGGCGCUGAAGAAACCCAGAACGGUUUGACUUGCACAUCAGCUCUAGGAACAUUUUCUGCCCGAGGCCUGUGCUGAGGGUGUGGACGCGGUGGGGCGAGGUGCCAGCUAUAGGCCCUUCUGCUCUCCUUCCCAGGAGAGAGGACGGUAGUAAGACAGGGCGUGGGCAGGGUGGGCCUCGGAAACCUGUCGUCGUGGAGCGCGCGUGUGUGGGAAUGGCCCAGAGACAUCCUGCCCGGUGACCCGGACUUCCAGGACCGGUGCGGCCCUCCCUCGCGGCAGAACCUGCCCGCACAGCUGCCAUUCCCGAACCUGUCCCAGGACACCCGGACUGACUGCCAGCAAUUCUCCAAGGGCCGUGGGAAGGAGGGUGAUGGUAGUCCUGAAGCCAAAUUAACCUUACUUCCCUUCAGCUGCAGGUGUGGAAAAGCACUAAAUGGGAUAUGCAAAUGCUGUUUGUAUUCUUUUUGAAGUGGGGGGGGGUUUGCAAAAUCCCAACCAUGAUGGGGUGUUGCAAUCCCAAGCACGCUGGGAAUCACUCUUAUUAUGGUCCUCAUGCUGGUCGGCGCUUGUGCCCUGCGACCCACAAGGGUCUGUGUGCUCCCCGAUGGUGGGGUCUGUUCGAAGAGAGUCACUCUUCUGGGAUCCCAGACACAGUCUGAGACCUGGACAGAUGCACCUUAGGGGCUGUUUAGGGAUCACAUAGGAAUCUGUAAGCCUCAUUCCAUACUCCUAUUUCUCGUGCUAGGUUGGGCUAACAUCUAGCGCAGAACUCAAAGGAAAAAAUUAUAUGUAAAAAACCCAAACAAACAGGACCUAUCAAGAGUCACGAAGUUGCCAGUAUUAGUUGUCUGUGGGGGAAGAGGGAAUGUGUUUUUCUUCUUUUGCUUGUUUGUGCAUUCUUGUACUUGUUUUACUUGUUUUUGGCAAAUACCUAUUGCUUUUGUAAGAAGAAGAGAUGUUUUUUAAAUGUUCCCAGCAGAGCAAUUUGGUUUUUUUUUUUUUUAAAUAGAUAAUAAAUGGGAAGGUUCAAACCACCCUCUGAUUUUUUGUUGUUGUUGCUGUUCCUCUCUUUCCAAAAGAAAGAGAUGCUCCUGGUGUGAAACCUUUUGACAAUUCAAUCAAAAUAAAGAAAAAAAAAUCACCUGUAAUCUCAUCACAGAGAUAAUGACUGUCAUUACUUUUGAUUCUACCUUUCCUGUUCACUUUAGUUUUCUAGUCUUUAGUUUUUAUGCUGUGGUUUUUAUGAAAAUAGGACCAUGCUGUAAUAACGUGGUGUAAUCUGCUUUUUCUACACCAGAGAUCAUGAACAUAUUUUUCUGCGUGAUCGGAUUUAAUCGCCAGUUACAUAGAAUUCUGGUUAUAAACAUCCAACAAUUUAACCAAUUCUGCAUUGUUGAAAUAGAACCUCUGGGCGGUUUCUACAUUUUUUGCUGUUAUAGACAAGGCUGCAAAUAUCUUCGCAACUCAUCUUUUGUGCGCAUCCAAGAUUAUUUCUUUUGGGGGUGGGCCGAGGGGGUGCUCCUUCUCAAGGCUUUUGAAAUGCCGUUGAGCCUCACACGGUAGACUGCGCAGGCCCCGUCACAAAGGGGAAGGUCAUAUCAGCUCACCCCGUCUUGAGCUGUGUAAUUGUAAAAAUUAUUUACCUUUUCGGCCCUUCAAUUUUUUCAACUAUAAACCGGAACCAUAGCAGCUAACAUAGUUAAGACGGUUGCCAGGACUGGCUCUAAAAAACGUGUCCCCACUAGGCUGAAAGCUCUAGGAAGGUAGGAACAGGGUCUGUUUUUUGC